UCGUAUUUCUUCUUUCU
Molecule: microRNA, 17 nt
Filed under: Corchorus olitorius
Lineage: Eukaryota; Viridiplantae; Streptophyta; Magnoliopsida; Malvales; Malvaceae
Description: hsa-miR-12
Source: RNAcentral